RNAcentral lists this ribosomal RNA (696 nucleotides) under Pseudomonas aeruginosa. RNAcentral's name for it is "bacterial SSU rRNA". It matches the Rfam family "Bacterial small subunit ribosomal RNA", at positions 72 to 764 of the family's 1533-position model. Lineage: Bacteria; Pseudomonadati; Pseudomonadota; Gammaproteobacteria; Pseudomonadales; Pseudomonadaceae. The record is from RNAcentral.
AAGGGAGCUUGCUCCUGGAUUCAGCGGCGGACGGGUGAGUAAUGCCUAGGAAUCUGCCUGGUAGUGGGGGAUAACGUCCGGAAACGGGCGCUAAUACCGCAUACGUCCUGAGGGAGAAAGUGGGGGAUCUUCGGACCUCACGCUAUCAGAUGAGCCUAGGUCGGAUUAGCUAGUUGGUGGGGUAAAGGCCUACCAAGGCGACGAUCCGUAACUGGUCUGAGAGGAUGAUCAGUCACACUGGAACUGAGACACGGUCCAGACUCCUACGGGAGGCAGCAGUGGGGAAUAUUGGACAAUGGGCGAAAGCCUGAUCCAGCCAUGCCGCGUGUGUGAAGAAGGUCUUCGGAUUGUAAAGCACUUUAAGUUGGGAGGAAGGGCAGUAAGUUAAUACCUUGCUGUUUUGACGUUACCAACAGAAUAAGCACCGGCUAACUUCGUGCCAGCAGCCGCGGUAAUACGAAGGGUGCAAGCGUUAAUCGGAAUUACUGGGCGUAAAGCGCGCGUAGGUGGUUCAGCAAGUUGGAUGUGAAAUCCCCGGGCUCAACCUGGGAACUGCAUCCAAAACUACUGAGCUAGAGUACGGUAGAGGGUGGUGGAAUUUCCUGUGUAGCGGUGAAAUGCGUAGAUAUAGGAAGGAACACCAGUGGCGAAGGCGACCACCUGGACUGAUACUGACACUGAGGUGCGAAAGCGUGG